AAUCUCAAACCAAGUCAAAUAAGCUGUUUGGCAUUGGCAGAGAAGAUUUGGCAAAUUGUUCAUGGGUGCAUCCCACAUACUCUGCUGCUCAUCCCACAAAUGCAUGUUCCUUACAAAUGCGGCACCAUUUGAAAGGGAACUAAACCGGUUU
Molecule: long non-coding RNA, 151 nt
Organism: Etheostoma cragini (Arkansas darter)
Lineage: Eukaryota; Metazoa; Chordata; Actinopteri; Perciformes; Percidae
Exons: 3
Source: RefSeq, a predicted model, not a curated record